Molecule: ribosomal RNA, 350 nt
Filed under: uncultured bacterium
Lineage: Bacteria
Description: partial 16S ribosomal RNA
Rfam family: Bacterial small subunit ribosomal RNA
Source: RNAcentral
CCUACGGGAGGCAGCAGUGAGGAAUAUUGGUCAAUGGACGAGAGUCUGAACCAGCCAAGUCGCGUGAAGGAUGACUGCCCUAUGGGUUGUAAACUUCUUUUAUAAAGGAGUAAAACGAGGCACGUGUGCCUUUUUGCAUGUACUUUAUGAAUAAGGAUCGGCUAACUCCGGGCCAGCAGCCGCGGUAAUACGGAGGAUCCGAGCGUUAUCCGGAUUUAGUGGGGUUAAAGGGAGCGUAGAUGGGUUGUUAAGUCAGUUGUGAAAGUCUGCGGCUCAACCGGAAAAUUGCAAUUGCUAAUGGCAGUGUUGAGUACGGUUGAGGUAGGCGGAAUUCGGGGUGUAGCGGUGAA